GGAUUAGUGGCGGACGGGUGAGUAACGCGUGAGUAACCUGCCUUGCACAAGGGGAUAGCCGUUGGAAACGACGAAUAAUACCCUAUGAUAUAAACUCUUCGCAUGAAGAGCUUAUCAAAGAUUUAUCGGUGUAAGAUGGACUCGCGUCUGAUUAGCUAGUUGGUGGGGUAACAGCCUACCAAGGCAACGAUCAGUAGCCGGCUUGAGAGAGUGUACGGCCACAUUGGGACUGAGACACGGCCCAGACUCC
This 250-nucleotide ribosomal RNA is filed under the name uncultured Anaerococcus sp. RNAcentral describes it as "partial 16S ribosomal RNA". It matches the Rfam family "Bacterial small subunit ribosomal RNA", at positions 89 to 339 of the family's 1533-position model. The record is from RNAcentral. Lineage: Bacteria; Bacillati; Bacillota; Tissierellia; Tissierellales; Peptoniphilaceae.